UACGUAGGGUGCAAGCGUUAAUCGGAAUUACUGGGCGUAAAGCGUGCGCAGGCGGUUUUGUAAGUUUGUCGUGAAAUCCCCCGGGCUCAACCUGGGAAUUGCGAUGAAGACUGCAAGGCUAGAAUCUGGCAGAGGGGGGUAGAAUUCCACGUGUGAGCAGUGAAAUGCGUAGAGAUGUGGAGGAACACCGAUGGCGAAGGCAGCCCCCUGGGUCAACACUGACGCUCAUGCACGAAAGCGUGGGGAGCAACAGG
Molecule: ribosomal RNA, 254 nt
Filed under: uncultured bacterium
Lineage: Bacteria
Description: partial 16S ribosomal RNA
Rfam family: Bacterial small subunit ribosomal RNA
Source: RNAcentral